CACGUAGGGUGCAAGCGUUGUCCGGAAUCAUUGGGCGUAAAGAGCUCGUAGGCGGUUUGUCGCGUCGGAUGUGAAAACCCGGGGCUUAACCCCGGGCCUGCAUUCGAUACGGGCUGACUAGAGUACGGCAGGGGAGACUGGAAUUCCUGGUGUAGCGGUGAAAUGCGCAGAUAUCAGGAGGAACACCGGUGGCGAAGGCGGGUCUCUGGGCCGAUACUGACGCUGAGGAGCGAAAGCGUGGGGAGCGAACAGG
This 253-nucleotide ribosomal RNA is filed under the name uncultured bacterium. RNAcentral's name for it is "partial 16S ribosomal RNA". It matches the Rfam family "Bacterial small subunit ribosomal RNA", at positions 524 to 776 of the family's 1533-position model. The record is from RNAcentral.